AUGCCAUGGUGUGGACAUUCUCUUUGUAGGUCUUUGCAUCUCUCCCAUGCGUCAUAGAGUGAUUCUCCUUCCCUCUACUAAAAGUGUUUAGUUCUAUUAUCAGUUU
Molecule: small nucleolar RNA, 106 nt
Organism: Hevea brasiliensis (rubber tree)
Lineage: Eukaryota; Viridiplantae; Streptophyta; Magnoliopsida; Malpighiales; Euphorbiaceae
Source: RefSeq, a predicted model, not a curated record